Molecule: ribosomal RNA, 253 nt
Filed under: uncultured bacterium
Lineage: Bacteria
Description: partial 16S ribosomal RNA
Rfam family: Bacterial small subunit ribosomal RNA
Source: RNAcentral
UACGUAGGGUGCAAGCGUUAAUCGGAAUUACUGGGCGUAAAGGGCACGCAGGCGGUUGUGUCAGUUUGCGGGGACAGUGGGCGGCUUAACUGCCCAAGGGUCGCAAAGACGGCACGACUGGAGAGCGAGAGAGGGACCUGGAAUUCCGGGUGGAGCGGUGAAAUGCGUAGAGAUCCGGAGGAACACCACUGGCGCAGGCAAGGUCCUGGCGCGUAUCUGACGCUGAGGUGCGAAAGCUAGGGGAGCGAACGGG